RNAcentral lists this small RNA (1135 nucleotides) under Oryza sativa Japonica Group (Japanese rice). Its description in RNAcentral is "sRNA Os10g0497466". The record is from RNAcentral. Lineage: Eukaryota; Viridiplantae; Streptophyta; Magnoliopsida; Poales; Poaceae.
UCACUCCUUGCUGCCUCACACAGGUAAAUAGAAACAUCAUUCCAUCAGAUAUUUCAUGAUUAGUACAUGUGCAUAAUAAUACGUUGAGAUAAGAUAAUCAGAUCGGAAACCAUUCUAUACAAUCCAAUCUUGUUCCAUAAAAAAUAUAUUGUGAUGAUCAGUACUGCAUUUGUCCAUGAAGGAUUAUGUUGUAUGUGCUAAGUUCAAUCUGCGUUCCACUUUCGGUAAUCCUGACAUAGAGUUCUUUUGCAGCAGCAGUUCUUCUGGUUUGAAAUAAACCUUGCAGAAUUAUGUUAUACGUAAUAAUAUCAGGACUAACACCACUGCUCUCCAUCUCCUUAAAAAGAACUAACGCGUCUUCCAUCCUACUAAUUUUGCAGUAGCCAUUAAUCAAAGUGCUAUAAGUAACAGUAUUAGGCAUGACACCAUUCUUAACCAUCGUGGUAAGUACCUCCAUGGCUUGUCCAUAGCUUGACCCUUGCAUAACGCAGCAAUAAUAGAGCUGUAGGUCACAACAUCAGGUAAAAUCCCCCGGUCCAGCAUUUCAUGGUAUGUACUGUAAGCUUUGUCUGAAUCCCCCUCUUUGAAGAAGCCAUUGAUGACAGUGGUAUACGACACCACAUCAGGUGGGCUACCUCCUCCUCGAUCAUCAGCCAUCAUGUGCAGCAACUCGAGAGCUUCUUGGCUUCUGUUCUCAUCACACAGCCCGUUGAGAAGAUUAUUGUAGGAGAAGACAUUUGGUAUGCAACCGAGCUCGGUCAUUCUGCGGAGCACUAUGUCCAUUGCGUCGCUCGUCCUCUUGUCGGCACAGAGGCCCUUGAGCAGAGGAGUGAAGGUGAUGGCUUCCACUCUAAAUCCCUUCUUAAUGACAUUGCCCAAGGCCGCGAAACCGAGGUCCAAGCGGCCCGCGCGGCAGCAGCAACCGAUGAGAAUGCCGUAGGUGCACAAGUCGGGAGUUACCUCGUCGGCGCCAGCUCGGGCCAUGCGGUUGUAGCGGGACACGGCGGCCGCGGGGCUGUGACGCGCGACGUCGGCGAGGGCGCGGUUCAAGCCGUAGAUCGAGGCGCCCCUGCCACGCCGGAGCAAUUCGUCGAACACGUGGCGUGCGUCCUCGGCGCCACUGCCCCCCGCGCGG